GAUGAACGCUGGCGGCGUGCUUAACACAUGCAAGUCGAACGAAGCAUUUAGGACAGAUUACUUCGGUUUGAAGUUCUUUAUGACUGAGUGGCGGACGGGUGAGUAACGCGUGGGUAACCUGCCUUGUACUGGGGGAUAGCAGCUGGAAACGGCUGGUAAUACCGCAUAAGCGCACAAUGUUGCAUGACAUGGUGUGAAAAACUCCGGUGGUAUAAGAUGGACCCGCGUCUGAUUAGCUAGUUGGUGAGAUAACAGCCCACCAAGGCGACGAUCAGUAGCCGACCUGAGAGGGUGACCGGCCACAUUGGGACUGAGACACGGCCCAGACUCCUACGGGAGGCAGCAGUGGGGAAUAUUGCACAAUGGAGGAAAAUCUGAUGCAGCGACGCCGCGUGAGUGAAGAAGUAAUUCGUGAUGUAAAGCUCUAUCAGCAGGGAAGAUAGUGACGGUACCUGACGAAGAAGCUCCGGCUAAAUACGUG
This 481-nucleotide ribosomal RNA is filed under the name uncultured bacterium. Its description in RNAcentral is "partial 16S ribosomal RNA". It matches the Rfam family "Bacterial small subunit ribosomal RNA", at positions 28 to 507 of the family's 1533-position model. The record is from RNAcentral.